GUGCCAGCAGCCGCGGUAAUACGUAGGGUGCAAGCGUUAAUCGGAAUUACUGGGCGUAAAGCGUGCGCAGGCGGUUUUGUAAGUCAGAUGUGAAAUCCCCGGGCUUAACCUGGGAACUGCGUUUGAAACUACAAGGCUAGAGUGUGGCAGAGGGGGGUGGAAUUCCACGUGUAGCAGUGAAAUGCGUAGAGAUGUGGAGGAACACCGAUGGCGAAGGCAGCCCCCUGGGUUAACACUGACGCUCAGGCACGAAAGCGUGGGGAGCAAACAGGAUUAGAUACCCGCGUAGUCC
Molecule: ribosomal RNA, 292 nt
Filed under: uncultured bacterium
Lineage: Bacteria
Description: partial 16S ribosomal RNA
Rfam family: Bacterial small subunit ribosomal RNA
Source: RNAcentral